This 139-nucleotide ribosomal RNA is filed under the name uncultured bacterium. RNAcentral's name for it is "partial 16S ribosomal RNA". It matches the Rfam family "Bacterial small subunit ribosomal RNA", at positions 355 to 509 of the family's 1533-position model. The record is from RNAcentral.
UGGGGAAUAUUGCACAAUGGGGGAAACCCGUGAUGCAGCAACGCCGCGUGAGUGAAGAAGUAUUUCGGUAUGUAAAGCUCUAUCAGCAGGGAAGAAGGCAGACGGUACCUGACUAAGAAGCCCCGGCUAACUACGUGCC